RNAcentral lists this long non-coding RNA (1002 nucleotides) under Apteryx haastii (Great spotted kiwi). RNAcentral describes it as "lncRNA (ENSAHAG00000008720.1)". Lineage: Eukaryota; Metazoa; Chordata; Aves; Apterygiformes; Apterygidae. The record is from RNAcentral.
AUGGCGACCGGGCGGCGGUCGUUAGGUUUCGGAGUGAAACUUUGCCGGCGCGUGGCGGGCGGGCGUUGGGACGGGGGUGUCGCCGGCGCGGCGCGGCGCGGCCGGGGGGACACCGCGGCGAGGAGCCGGGAAAGUUUUUUUGCGCCGAGAAGCUGCUGGGCGCCCACGCCCCCUCGGCGGCUGCCUGACGGCCCGUCUCCACUCCGCAGCUCCCGGCCGAGCGCGCUGCUAUGGCACCCGCCCGUCGCCUCGGGGCGAGCCGGGGGAGGCCGCCCCCGGCCGGCGGUGACCGCCCCGGCCGCCUCGCCGUUCCUCCCCCCGCCCGAGCCUCGCCGCGGACGGAGCUGGGGAAGGGCGAGGGGGGCCGCUGCCCGGGCACCGCCUGAGCCAGCCGCCGCCUCGCCGCCGGAGCCCCAUGCCCGGCCGGCGCUGUGCAGCCCCGCGGCUCCCUCCGCCCAGAAGCGGCUGAGACCUCGCACCUCGCCACAGGUAAGCGGUGUGUGUGUGGGGGUGUCUGCCUGCCGCCCUGGGCUCCCGCCCGGCCCGGGAGCCGUUGCCCCCCCGAGCGGCGGCUGGCGCAGCGCCGGGCCCCUCGCUGGCGGCGGCGGAGGGCGCGCCCGGCCUCGCGGCGGCGUUUGGGAGGGGGCCGGGCGGCCCCUCGGCGACCGGGGCAGGGGGCGAGCAGCGGCCGAUAGAUGUGUGUGUGUGUACAGAUACAUAUUUCUAUUUUCUUCCAGAAAUAGACUUUCUGCCUCCCGAGCGGAGCCAGUUGGCAUGUGUAGAGGCUGCGUGCAGCUGCUACACCCUCUUUUGUCUGCUCUCGGGUCUGAAAUACUUUCUGUGCUGCCGCCGCCCGCCUGCCGCUGGCCGGGAGUCCUGCCGCGGCUUUGCCCCACUCGCCUCUGCUGCCCCCCCAGGAGUACCCUCUUUGCCCUUAUUUCCGCAGAACUUCUUCGUUUCUUUUUUUUUUUUCUUUUUUCUCAAGCUUUGUGUUUGCUCUGA